Non-coding RNA from Oncorhynchus mykiss (rainbow trout), 994 nucleotides. NCBI's taxonomy places the organism in Eukaryota, Metazoa, Chordata, Actinopteri, Salmoniformes, Salmonidae. The record is from RefSeq and is a predicted model, not a curated record.
AAAAGCGUGGCAACAUGUCUGGAAGUGAGUUCUACAACAUGACCGCAAAACUCAUUUCAGGAGAUUUUUUUAAAUUCUCGUCACUUGGCGGUAAAGUGGUGCUGAUCGAGAAUGUGGCGUCUCUCUGAGGUACUACCACCAGGGAUUACACCCAGAUGAACGAGCUCCAUGAACGGUACGCCGACAAGGGUCUCGUGAUUCUGGGGGUGCCCUGCAAUCAAUUCGGACAUCAGGAGAACUGCAAUAACGAAGAGAUUCUGAUGUCCUUGAAGUAUGUCCGACCGGGAAAUGGCUUUGAGCCCAAUUUCCAGCUCCUUGAGAAAGUGGAUGUGAACGGGAAGCACGCCCACCCCCUGUUUGUGUACCUCAAGGAGAAGCUGCAGUUCCCAAGCGAUGAUCCCAUGGCCUUAAUGAACGACCCUAAAUGUAUCAUCUGGAGUCCCGUUGGCAGGAAUGACAUCGCCUGGAACUUUGAGAAGUUUCUCAUCGGGCCAGACGGAGAGCCAUUCAAACGCUACAGCAGGAGAUUCCCGACCAUCGACAUUGAGGGUGACAUCAAGAAGCUUCUUAACACGGCAAACUAACCCGUCCCAGUGUUGGUCACACAGAGGCAAUGGGGAGGAGUAGAAAUCAUGCCAAUGUGAUACCUUGCAUGUAUGGGCACACCUUGGAAAAUGUCCCUGGCUGUAACUCAAAAGGCAACAGUUGGACUUUCAACAGUUUACUGUUCAAUAAAUACUUCCUCCUCCUCCUCACAAGCUCUGUGUGACCACAGCACCCAUUAUAUUUUUAAAUCAUGUACCGUGCUCUCCUGUGCAAAAUGCUACUAUGUUCUGAACUUUUAUUAAAUGAAGCCAUCCUUUGAAACCACGCCUUUUGUGAGGGGGAUAUCUGAUGAAAUAUAAAAGUCUUAACAUAACAGUUGCAUUGGGCCCAUGUAAAGCAUGACUGUCUUAAUGUAACAAGUUGACCAAAUAAAUAUUUUUACUAAGAA